GGUUGUCGUCAGCUCGUGUCGUGAGAUGUUGGGUUAAGUCCCGCAACGAGCGCAACCCUUGUCAUUAGUUGCUACAUUCAGUUGGGCACUCUAAAUGAGACUGCCGGUGACAAGCCGGAGGAAGGUGGGGAUGACGUCAAGUCCUCAUGGCCCUUAUAGGUGGGGCUACACACGUCAUACAAUGGCUGGUACAAAGGGUUGCCAACCCGCGAGGGGGAGCCAAUCCCAUAAAGCCAGUCGUAGUCCGGAUCGUAGUCUGCAACUCGACUACGUGAAGUCGGAAUCGCUAGUAAUCGUGGAUCAGAAUGUCACGGUGAAUACGUUCCCGGGUCUU
Molecule: ribosomal RNA, 334 nt
Filed under: uncultured Rhodoferax sp.
Lineage: Bacteria; Pseudomonadati; Pseudomonadota; Betaproteobacteria; Burkholderiales; Comamonadaceae
Description: bacterial SSU rRNA
Rfam family: Bacterial small subunit ribosomal RNA
Source: RNAcentral